AUGUGGUUCAUGCCAACAGCAAAUAUGCACAACUUGAUUCGUGCUGAUAUCUACACUGAGCCAUUACCAUAUAACUGGAAUUGCCGAUGCAAGUCGAAGAAGGAUUGGCCGGUACUGCCGGCUGGUGUCAAGUUCAAUCCCACGGAUCAGGAGCUCAUCGAGCAUCUUGAGGCCAAAGUGAGUGCUGACAGCGCGAGAUUUCAGUCUCUCAUCGAUUUGUUCAUACCAACCAUCGACAACGAGCACGGCAUAUGCUACACCCAACCUGAGAAACUUCCAGGUAUCACACUGAGUGGCCUAAGGAAGCAUUUCUUCCAGCGCAAUUCCAGGGCGUUCAAUAGGGGCACGUGGACAUGUCGCAAGAUACAGUCGGAGUGCGGCAUGCACGCGAUGUGGCACAAGACCGGCAAUACCUUGCCGGUGAUGGUCAAUGGCCGACAGACAAGCAGCAAAAAAGGUUCUGGUGCUGCACACCAACAAGAACUUCGACCAGCAGAGGACCAACUGGGUGAUGCACCAGUACCACCUCGGGGACCUGGAGCAAGAGAAGGAAAGGGAGUUGGUCCUCUGCAAGAUUUUCUACCGGACGAACACUAG
RNAcentral lists this ribosomal RNA (597 nucleotides) under Triticum aestivum (bread wheat). RNAcentral's name for it is "partial small subunit ribosomal RNA". Lineage: Eukaryota; Viridiplantae; Streptophyta; Magnoliopsida; Poales; Poaceae. The record is from RNAcentral.